This 274-nucleotide ribosomal RNA is filed under the name uncultured bacterium. RNAcentral describes it as "partial 16S ribosomal RNA". It matches the Rfam family "Bacterial small subunit ribosomal RNA", at positions 523 to 796 of the family's 1533-position model. The record is from RNAcentral.
AUACGGGGGGUGCAAGCGUUGUCCGGAAUCAUUGGGCGUAAAGGGUUCGUAGGUGGAAUUAUAUGUCUGGUGUGAAAGCCCACAGCUCAACUGUGGAACUGCACUGGAUACUGUUUUUCUUGAGUUAUAGAGGGGUUUGUGGAAUUUCUGGUGUAGAGGUGAAAUUUGUAGAGAUCAGAAAGAACACCGGUGGCGAAGGCGACAAACUGGCUAUUAACUGACACUGAGGAACGAAAGCGUGGGGAGCGAACAGGAUUAGAUACCCUAGUAGUCC